AGCGAACAGACGAGGAGCUUGCUCCUCUGACGUUAGCGGCGGACGGGUGAGUAACACGUGGAUAACCUACCUAUAAGACUGGGAUAACUUCGGGAAACCGGAGCUAAUACCGGAUAAUAUAUUGAACCGCAUGGUUCAAUAGUGAAAGACGGUUUUGCUGUCACUUAUAGAUGGAUCCGCGCCGCAUUAGCUAGUUGGUAAGGUAACGGCUUACCAAGGCAACGAUGCGUAGCCGACCUGAGAGGGUGAUCGGCCACACUGGAACUGAGACACGGUCCAGACUCCUACGGGAGGCAGCAGUAGGGAAUCUUCCGCAAUGGGCGAAAGCCUGACGGAGCAACGCCGCGUGAGUGAUGAAGGUCUUCGGAUCGUAAAACUCUGUUAUUAGGGAAGAACAAAUGUGUAAGUAACUAUGCACGUCUUGACGGUACCUAAUCAGAAAGCCACGGCUAACUACGUGCCAGCAGCCGCGGUAAUACGUAGGUGGCAAGCGUUAUCCGGAAUUAUUGGGCGUAAAGCGCGCGUAGGCGGUUUUUUAAGUCUGAUGUGAAAGCCCACGGCUCAACCGUGGAGGGUCAUUGGAAACUGGAAAACUUGAGUGCAGAAGAGGAAAGUGGAACUCCAUGUGUAGCGGUGAAAUGCGCAGAGAUAUGGAGGAACACCAGUGGCGAAGGCGACUUUCUGGUCUGUAACUGACGCUGAUGUGCGAAAGCGUGGGGAUCAAACAGGAUUAG
Molecule: ribosomal RNA, 734 nt
Filed under: uncultured Staphylococcus sp.
Lineage: Bacteria; Bacillati; Bacillota; Bacilli; Caryophanales; Staphylococcaceae
Description: bacterial SSU rRNA
Rfam family: Bacterial small subunit ribosomal RNA
Source: RNAcentral